This 497-nucleotide ribosomal RNA is filed under the name uncultured bacterium. RNAcentral's name for it is "partial 16S ribosomal RNA". It matches the Rfam family "Bacterial small subunit ribosomal RNA", at positions 28 to 507 of the family's 1533-position model. The record is from RNAcentral.
GAUGAACGCUGGCGGCGUGCCUAAUACAUGCAAGUCGAGCGAACAGACGAGGAGCUUGCUCCUCUGACGUUAGCGGCGGACGGGUGAGUAACACGUGGAUAACCUACCUAUAAGACUGGGAUAACUUCGGGAAACCGGAGCUAAUACCGGAUAAUAUAUUGAACCGCAUGGUUCAAUAGUGAAAGACGGUUUUGCUGUCACUUAUAGAUGGACCCGCGCCGCAUUAGCUAGUUGGUAAGGUAACGGCUUACCAAGGCAACGAUGCGUAGCCGACCUGAGAGGAUGAUCGGCCACACUGGAACUGAGACACGGUCCAGACUCCUACGGGAGGCAGCAGUAGGGAAUCUUCCGCAAUGGGCGAAAGCCUGACGGAGCAACGCCGCGUGAGUGAUGAAGGUCUUCGGAUCGUAAAACUCUGUUAUUAGGGAAGAAAAAAUGUGUAAGUAACUAUGCACGUCUUGACGGUACCUAAUCAGAAAGCCACGGCUAACUACGUG